This is a long non-coding RNA of Melospiza melodia melodia, 1101 nucleotides long. RefSeq lists it as uncharacterized. The record is from RefSeq and is a predicted model, not a curated record. The transcript is spliced from 4 exons. Lineage: Eukaryota; Metazoa; Chordata; Aves; Passeriformes; Passerellidae.
GAAAGCUUUGAGGGAAUGGACACGUCCCGAGAACAGGGAGAGAUCUCCGGGGGUCGUGAGAGACUGCAGGAGUCCUGAGCAUGUGGAGAGGCGCAGGGAAGGUUUGGGCUCCCUCGCCCCAGGACAGGAGAUUCGGGGUCACCCCAGCGCGGCCGUUCAUGGGAAAAGGCGAGCUCUGGGUCAGCUGCACUGGGGGAAAUCCAGCGCUGCUCGGACGCGUCUCGGUGUCUUGUUCCUAAAUGACUCCCUUCAGAACCCGUGCCUGGGGCUCAGAUUAUUGCUGUCCCUGUUUCCUGGAACAUCAGCAUUUGACUCUCUACCCUGAAGUUUUGUAUCACAUCAGUUAUUCCAAAGAUUGAGGGAACAUAGCAGCAUUCUAACUUGUGGAUGCCUGGCAAGUGUCCUUAGAGCACAGUUCAUGUGUCUGGGCCUAAGGGACCACUCCUGUGCUCCUGGGGUUAAUUGCAGUUUUAGCAGCAGAAAUCAAGUCCCAUAAGCUUGAUUUAUAGUAUGUUGUGAGUGUUUUUCUUUCUCCUCCUAUUUUCCCUUAACAAUUGUCCAUGAUCCUUAGCUCAGAGGGAAUGUGUGUUGCUGUAAGAGGCACCAGAGAAAGGCGUUGAGCAAAUGAGCACAAAUCUGCUGCAAGAGGCUGCAGAGCUUGUCUGCCUGGACACCUGCCACAGCAGACAUCAUUCAAGGCUGGCAGCUGAGACACUGUGACCUUGGCUAUGACAUGGAGAUCUCCAAAUGGAGCAGAGCUCAGCUUUCCUGUCAGACUCCUCUCCAAUCUGUGCUGUUCAUCACACACUCCAACAACUCUUGUUUUGAAGCUUGAUUUUGGUGAAUUUAUUUAACCUUGUGCACGACGGGAAUUGCGCAGAGCCGCGGAAUGACGUUAACUUGACCCUCAUCUUGGAGGGUGAGGAAGGAACUGUCCUUGUCAGUGCACAGAGCUGGCUGCAGCUCUGGGACGGCAGAGCAGGGAAAAGUCAGGAAAAGGGGGUCUUGUCAACUGCUCUGCCAGUGUCCUUCCUCCCUUUGGAAACACUGCCAGAGCUUACGCGUUGGAGGUGAAGUAAAUACUAAUAAAGCUGCUGUUAA